GACGUAGGGCGCGAGCGUUGUCCGGAUUUAUUGGGCGUAAAGAGCUCGUAGGCGGCUCGUCGCGUCGACCGUGAAAACUUGGGGCUUAACCCUAAGCUUGCGGUUGAUACGGGCGGGCUAGAGUUCGGUAGGGGAGACUGGAAUUCCUGGUGUAGCGGUGAAAUGCGCAGAUAUCAGGAGGAACACCGGUGGCGAAGGCGGGUCUCUGGGCCGAUACUGACGCUGAGGAGCGAAAGCGUGGGGAGCGAACAGG
RNAcentral lists this ribosomal RNA (253 nucleotides) under uncultured bacterium. RNAcentral describes it as "partial 16S ribosomal RNA". It matches the Rfam family "Bacterial small subunit ribosomal RNA", at positions 524 to 776 of the family's 1533-position model. The record is from RNAcentral.